This 495-nucleotide ribosomal RNA is filed under the name uncultured bacterium. Its description in RNAcentral is "partial 16S ribosomal RNA". It matches the Rfam family "Bacterial small subunit ribosomal RNA", at positions 29 to 506 of the family's 1533-position model. The record is from RNAcentral.
AUGAACGCUGGCGGCGUGCCUAAUACCUGCAAGUCGCGCGCACAGACGAGGAGCUUGCUCCUCUGACGUUAGCGGCGGACGGGUGAGUAACACGUGGAUAACCUACCUAUAAGACUGGGAUAACUUCGGGAAACCGGAGCUAAUACCGGAUAAUAUAUUGAACCGCAUGGUUCAAUAGUGAAAGACGGUUUUGCUGUCACUUAUAGAUGGAUCCGCGCCGCAUUAGCUAGUUGGUAAGGUAACGGCUUACCAAGGCAACGAUGCGUAGCCGACCUGAGAGGGUGAUCGGCCACACUGGAACUGAGACACGGUCCAGACUCCUACGGGAGGCAGCAGUAGGGAAUCUUCCGCAAUGGGCGAAAGCCUGACGGAGCAACGCCGCGUGAGUGAUGAAGGUCUUCGGAUCGUAAAACUCUGUUAUUAGGGAAGAACAAAUGUGUAAGUAACUAUGCACGUCUUGACGGUACCUAAUCAGAAAGCCACGGCUAACUACGU